Small nucleolar RNA from Cercocebus atys (sooty mangabey), 104 nucleotides. The record is from Ensembl. Lineage: Eukaryota; Metazoa; Chordata; Mammalia; Primates; Cercopithecidae.
AUCUUUUUGUAGUUAAUAAGCAUGAUGAUUCAGUGUUCACGUGCAUGUGUGGGAUGUGCCGCCCCCAAACCUUGUUAGGACAUUGGCACAUUACCCGUCUGACA